RNAcentral lists this ribosomal RNA (253 nucleotides) under uncultured bacterium. Its description in RNAcentral is "partial 16S ribosomal RNA". It matches the Rfam family "Bacterial small subunit ribosomal RNA", at positions 524 to 776 of the family's 1533-position model. The record is from RNAcentral.
UACGAAGGGGGCUAGCGUUGUUCGGAAUUACUGGGCGUAAAGCGCGCGCAGGCGGCCAUCCAAGUCAGGGGUGAAAGCCCGGAGCUCAACUCCGGAACUGCCUCUGAAACUGUUUGGCUUGAGUACGGGAGAGGUGAGUGGAAUUCCCAGUGUAGAGGUGAAAUUCGUAGAUAUUGGGAAGAACACCAGUGGCGAAGGCGGCUCACUGGCCCGUUUCUGACGCUCAGGCGCGACAGCGUGGGGAUCAAACAGG